GAUGAACGCUGACAGAAUGCUUAACACAUGCAAGUCUACUUGAACUUCGGUUUGGGUGGCGGACGGGUGAGUGACGCGUAAAGAACUUGCCUCACAGAUAGGGACAACAUAUGGAAACGUAUGCUAAUACCUGUUAUUAUGAUUUUAGGGCAUCCUAGAAUUAUGAAAGCUAUAUGCAAUGUGAGAGAGCUUUGCGUCCCAUUAGCUAGUUGGAGAGGUAACGGCUCACCAGGGCGAUGAUGGGUGGCCGGCCUGAGAGGGUGAUCGGCAACAAGGGGACGGGGACACGGCCCGAACUCCAACGGGGGGAAGAAGUGGGGAAAAUUGAAAAAGGGACCAAGAGUCUGAUCCAGAAAUUCUGUGUGCACGAUGAAGUUUUUCGGAAUGUAAAGUGCUUUCAGUUGGGAAGAAAAAAAUGACGGUACCAACAGAAGAAGUGACGGCUAAAUACGUG
RNAcentral lists this ribosomal RNA (454 nucleotides) under uncultured bacterium. RNAcentral's name for it is "partial 16S ribosomal RNA". It matches the Rfam family "Bacterial small subunit ribosomal RNA", at positions 28 to 507 of the family's 1533-position model. The record is from RNAcentral.